This 243-nucleotide unclassified non-coding RNA is filed under the name Hevea brasiliensis (rubber tree). The record is from RNAcentral. Lineage: Eukaryota; Viridiplantae; Streptophyta; Magnoliopsida; Malpighiales; Euphorbiaceae.
GCCGCAUCCAACUUGUUUUGUUAGAACUCCCAGCAUCACAGCGAUGGCAGCUCUCUUAGAUUCCCCAUACAUCCACGACCUAUAUCAUGUCCAAUAAAUCGUCCACAUCACCACCUUCUUCAAAUACAGCUGCUGUGUCUCCACUUGGUUUGUCUUUGGGGGCCAGAAACUUUUUGGCUUCCUCAGCUGUGACAGAACUUCCAGAGGCUUCCUCUUUGGUGAUCAGAGUAAUUCCAUCCUGGA